This 88-nucleotide transfer RNA is filed under the name Arcanobacterium wilhelmae. RNAcentral's name for it is "tRNA-Ser". It matches the Rfam family "tRNA". From Rfam's summary of the family: Transfer RNA (tRNA) molecules are approximately 80 nucleotides in length. Their secondary structure includes four short double-helical elements and three loops (D, anti-codon, and T loops). The record is from RNAcentral. Lineage: Bacteria; Bacillati; Actinomycetota; Actinomycetes; Actinomycetales; Actinomycetaceae.
GGAGAGUUGUCAGAGCGGCCGAAUGAGACGGUCUUGAAAACCGUUAUGUAGUGAUCCUGCAUCGGGGGUUCGAAUCCCCCACUCUCCG